ACCGUGUUCAAAUAAGGCAAACGCCAGCCUGUAACCAAUCCAGCUGCUCUGUACCUCACUUCCCAAUUUCUGUACGUUAUUUACCUUUUUUGUCUAUAAAUAUUCUUCCACCAUGUGGCUGCACUGGAGUCUCUGAAUCUGCUGUUUCUGGGGGCUGCCCAAUUUGUGAACUGUUCGUUGCUCAGUUAAGCUCCUUUAAGUUUAAUUCGGCUGAAGUUUUUCUUUCAUCAGAGAGAUGGGAAGCCAUUGAGGUGGUAGUGGUAGACGGGAGGGCAGCAGCGUUGAUGGACAUGGAUGAGAGCAGGUGUGCAUUCUACAAGGUCAAUGCUAGCUACGGAAAAAACAAUUGGGCGGGAGGAAUACAGUAUGGAGAGAGGAGGAUCCAUUCUAGGAAGCUAUUCUCAGAUCUAGAAGAAAGGAUCUGAGUGACAGGCUUAGGUGCGUUGUCUGCGUCCCAGGAACAGAGCAAAGCACACUGGCUCAGGCAUGAGGAAGCCACACCCCAAUCCUGCCUUUCAGGUGCCAAUGGAGAACAACCCCUUCAGCGGAACCAUGGUGCUUUACAUCUCUCUCUGAACUCUCAGAUCUCCUAAGUGGAGAUGGCUGAUUAAGGCUCUUAUCUUUCACGUUCUAAAAUCAAUUUAGUGUUGUUCGGAGCCAGCAAUGUUAAAAUAUAUUUGUAUUUUGAAACAAAGUUAACAUAGAGAAAUGAAAAAUAAAAUGUUGAGAAUUUUACAUUUAAUUGCAGAUAUAAUUCUGUGUUCUGUAUGUUACUUAGUUUUCUAUCUUAAAUAGUUUGAAGGUAAACACUUCUUUUAC
Molecule: long non-coding RNA, 819 nt
Filed under: Homo sapiens (human)
Lineage: Eukaryota; Metazoa; Chordata; Mammalia; Primates; Hominidae
Description: HSALNT0139776
Source: RNAcentral